Molecule: long non-coding RNA, 330 nt
Organism: Manihot esculenta (cassava)
Lineage: Eukaryota; Viridiplantae; Streptophyta; Magnoliopsida; Malpighiales; Euphorbiaceae
Exons: 2
Source: RefSeq, a predicted model, not a curated record
UUGGUUUGUCUUAAAGCGCGAUCUAUUCUCACCUAUUCCCAAUCCACACUCCUCAUUCUCUGUUCUCCAUCUUCAGCUUCACCGGUGCUUUUGUUGCAUGCAUUUAAAGACUCCUGCCACUCCCUCUCAUCGUAUGCCUUGAGCAAAUUGCAUUUCUAACGCUGCACGCCUCCCUUCAAUGAAUGCAAGGGAUUGGAAUUUAUUCAUAAGAGUAGCAGCACUGUUGCUGAAGGGGCUAGGUUUUUGGGGCUUCCACAAUUAUCGGUAUUGGUUUGAACUCAAAUAAAUUUAAACAAAAUUAUUAUUGCAGUGUUUUUUUUUUUUUUUUUU